GAAUCCUGACAGCAUCCACUCU
This 22-nucleotide small nuclear RNA is filed under the name Arabidopsis thaliana (thale cress). RNAcentral's name for it is "snRNA_07077". Lineage: Eukaryota; Viridiplantae; Streptophyta; Magnoliopsida; Brassicales; Brassicaceae. The record is from RNAcentral.